Molecule: non-coding RNA, 22 nt
Filed under: Arabidopsis thaliana (thale cress)
Lineage: Eukaryota; Viridiplantae; Streptophyta; Magnoliopsida; Brassicales; Brassicaceae
Source: RNAcentral
UGAAGCAUCGCACAUGAUCUCG